AGUGAACGCUGGCGGUAGGCCUAACACAUGCAAGUCCAACGGCAGCACAGUAAGAGCUUGCUCUUACGGGUGGCGAGUGGCGGACGGGUGAGGAAUACAUCGGAAUCUACUUUUUCGUGGGGGAUAACGUAGGGAAACUUACGCUAAUACCGCAUACGACCUACGGGUGAAAGCAGGGGAUCUUCGGACCUUGCGCAAUUGAAUGAGCCGAUGUCGGAUUAGCUAGUUGGCGGGGUAAAGGCCCACCAAGGCGACGAUCCGUAGCUGGUCUGAGAGGAUGAUCAGCCACACUGGAACUGAGACACGGUCCAGACUCCUACGGGAGGCAGCAGUGGGGAAUAUUGGACAAUGGGCGCAAGCCUGAUCCAGCCAUACCGCGUGGGUGAAGAAGGCCUUCGGGUUGUAAAGCCCUUUUGUUGGGAAAGAAAAGCAGCAGGUUAAUACCCCGCUGUUCUGACGGUACCCAAAGAAUAAGCACCGGCUAACUUCGUG
This 492-nucleotide ribosomal RNA is filed under the name uncultured bacterium. Its description in RNAcentral is "partial 16S ribosomal RNA". It matches the Rfam family "Bacterial small subunit ribosomal RNA", at positions 29 to 507 of the family's 1533-position model. The record is from RNAcentral.